Callithrix jacchus (white-tufted-ear marmoset) is the source of this 4909-nucleotide long non-coding RNA. RefSeq lists it as uncharacterized. The record is from RefSeq and is a predicted model, not a curated record. NCBI's taxonomy places the organism in Eukaryota, Metazoa, Chordata, Mammalia, Primates, Cebidae.
UGGGGAGCCCGCAGACUGGCCGUCUCACCUCUCUGGGGGUGCCACCUCUGGAGGCCUGCCACAUGAUCAGAUACUUGAGGGGCAGCUGCGGGGCCGGAGUCCAGGACAGGCGGAUGCUGGAGGAGGUCACCUGGGCCCCCACGCUGGAGCCUCUGGCAGAUGAGGCGGCUGAGCAGGCCGGCCAGCGCGCCAAGCUGCGGGAAGCCCAGCACAUUGUGGACAGUGAUGUCCUGUGGCGGGGACGCCAGGAGCCUCAGUUCAGCCUCAUCCGCGUUCUUCACACCUGCUCGUGAGGAAGGAGGCAAGUCGGCCUGCGCUGGGGUCACCCAACGGGGCCACCACAGUGGGGGCUGGGUCUCCAUGGAGACUGGGCCAGAGGAGAAGAGGCCCACGGGCUACACUCCUCAGCCCACCGCCACGCGAGUGCUGGGCCAGGUGCUCCUGAGGGGUUGGGGACAUCAAGGAAGGGUCUCUGCCCCCAGGACUCCUGCCUCAACAUCUGCAGUUUCCUCCCCACAGGACGGAGUUGAUUCUCCCAUGAGUCCCAGGCCCUGGAGGGUGCCAGGAAGCUCCUCACCAGGGGACAGCAGGCGGGAGUUGCCAGGCACAGGGACAGUGACCAGCAGGGACAGCCCCGGCUCCUCAGUGAAUGUCACACCAGGGAGGUUCAGGCCAUGAGGGCUGGGGCGGGGGGUUCUACAGAAGGCAGCAAACAGCAGGAGAUGGAAAAGGAGCAGCCAAGCUAACGCUGCCCACCUGCACCAUUGCCGCUGAGUGCCCGGCAGUGCCCGGCUCUGCGUGCAGCCUGUGCCGUGGACGCAGAAGCUGAGCUCAGGACCAGGAGUCUAAUGCCAGCUCCCAGCUGCCACCCUGAGCCCAAUCUGGCUGUGAGAGUCCAGCCCAGGGCCAGGGGCCGCACGGUGCUCACCCACAGCGAAGACGAUCACACCCAGGUCCUUGAGGAUGCAGGCAGCGGUAUGCACGUCAUCCUGCGACUUGCCGUCCGUCACCAGAAUCACCACCUUGGCCGCCUCUGGACGCACACCAGCUGCCGGCUGCAGGCUGCCAGGAGGCUGGGCGGUAGCUCGAGGGGGCAGGGAGAGCCUGCCUGUGGAGAGGCCCCCAGAGGAGCCCCAAUCCCCUAGUCAGGCCCUAUCUGCAGGUGAGCAGCCAGACGGGGCUGGUGUGGACCCAGCCGGAGUGUCGGUGGAACAGAGGAGCCGUGUGCUGCAUAUGGGCCCUUGCUUCCAUUGAAGGGCGUGAUGACACUGGCCAGGAAGUCCUUGACCUGCUGGAAGUGACUGUGGCCGAUGCUCCAGGACCCGUCCACCAGGAAGACCAUGUGCCUCCAUCCUCCACGACCCCGGUGGCCGCUGCACACAGCUGUCUGCACAGGAGCUACACACACAGACACCAAGCCAGAUUGCCACUGGGUGCAAACCGGGCACAGAGGAGAAGACCCAGGCUGGAGGUUCCCAGAGGGGCCAGAGGUCGUGGGACCGCCUGCUCCCAGUGGUCUGGCUUGAGUGAAUCCAGGAGCGUGGCAGCCUUAGGUUAAAGCUGGAGAGUGUGUGGUCAGGCGCGAGGAAGAACUUCCUGGCCUCACGCAGGACGUGCCCGGAGCCAGUGAGCUCGAAGAUCUGCAAGGUGUAACCCUUGGAGGGGCUCAGGCCCCCCACCGUGGCCUUGGGGGUCUUGGUGUGAGAAGAUGCACUUACUAAACCUGCCUAGAGGAAUCUGUCACGUGGUGAGAGGAAAGAACAAGAAGAAAUGGCCCAAAGCAGAGCUCAGGAGGUGGGAGUUGAGCACUGGGUGAUUCUCUGGAUCUCAAAUGCCAGGAUGAACCAACUAAAUAUUCAAUGAUGGUCCUGAAACAUUUUAAAUUUGGGAGCUGCUCAUGGCAUUGGGUUACCUUUGAGCCUUUUCUUUAGAAAAACAUACUGAAAUAUUUACGGACAGUGUCGUAUCAUGUCUGGGAUUUGUUUUAAGAUAAUACAGAAUGUAGAGGCGUCAGGGAGAGGGACGGAAAACAAGACUGGCCACACGCUGACAGCCACUGAAAGCUACGUUAUGAAAACAUGAGGCUUCAUUACACAAUGCUCUUUUCUUUUGCAUGUGUUUAAAUUUUUGCAUUAAAAAAUCAGCUCCAACAAAGACAAGAAAGCAAAUAAUAAAAAUGUAUAACAAGUAUAACAAAAAGGAAGAUUAUACAUAUAAACCAAAUAUAUCAUUAAUUUCAUUAAAUAUAAAUGGAAAAAAUCUUUUAAUAAAAAGACCGUCACACUGGACAAAAACAAUACCAGUUAUACCCAGCUUAGAGAACACAUCUGAAGUGAAAGGUGAAAGGUUAGCAGUAAAAGAAGGAAAAAGAUUCAACGCAAACACUACCUGGUGAAGCAACAGCAGCUCAGAUGCAAGAAACAGGGAUAGUGAAGAGCAUUUCAGCAGGAAAAAGGUCCGCCCACCGGGAAGGCACAGUCACUCUACAUGGGCACGCACCAACGACAGAGCCUCAACGCAUAAAGCAGAGAGUGGUGGGCAGCCACAGGAAAGGCAGGUCUGCGAGCACAGGGAGAUUUAAAAUACUUUUGUCAGUAAGGGAUAGGAUGAGCAGACCCAAAACACACCAACUAUGUAAAGUUCUGAACGAUAAGGUAAAAAACUUAAUUAGAAAGCUAUCCCCCACAACGGCAAAUUGUGUAUAUUUUCUUUUUUCUUUUUUUUUGAGAUGGAGUUUCACUCUUGUUACCCAGGCUGGAGUGCAAUGGUGCGAUCUCGGCUCACCGAAACCUCUGCCUCGGGGGUUCAGGCAAUUCUCCUGCCUCAGCCUCCUGAGUAGCUGGGACUACAGGCAUGCACCACCAUGCCCAGCUAAUUUUUUGUCUUUUUAGUAGAGACGGGGUUGCACCAUGUUGACCAGGAUGGUCUCAAUCUCUUGACCUUGUGAUCCACCCGCCUCGGCCUCCCAAAGUGCUGGGAUUACAGGCUUGAGCCACUGCGCCUGGCAAAUUGUGUAUAUUUUCAAAGUCACAUGGAACACUGACAAAAAUUGAUCACAUGCCGGACCAUAAAACGAGGUAUGUUUUUAUUUUUUCUUUGAGAUAAAGUCUCACUCUGUCACCCAGGCUGGAGUUCAGUGGCAGGAUGUCAGCUCAAUGCAACCUCCACCCCCCAGGUUCAAGUGAUUGUCCUGCCUCAGUCUCCCAAGUAGCUGGGAUUACAGGCGCGCGCGCACCACCAUGCCCGGCUAAUUUUUGUAUGUUUAGUAGAGAUGGGUUUCACCAUGUUGGUCAGGCUGGUUUCAAACUCCCAGCCUCAAGUGAUCCGCCCACCUUGGCCUCCCAAAUUGCUGGGAUUACAGGUGUCAGCCACUGCACCCAUGCUGGCUAAUUUUUGUAGAGGUUUCUCCAUGUUGCCCAGGCUGGUCUGGAACUCCUGGGCUCAAGAGAUCCUCCUUCCUUGGACUCCCAAAGUGCUGGAAUUACAGGCACGAGCCACCGCACCCAGCCAGCAAGGAAUUUUCCAAAGGACUGGAAGCAUAUUGUACAUUUCUGGUCAUGAUGCAAUUAAGGAAGACAUCCAAAACGAAAAGUAGGUAGAAAAUCCCCCAUGUUUCAAAACUAAGAAAUCUACUUCUAAGUAGCUUAUGGGUCAAAUAAAAAUGUCAUGAUAAAAAUCAGUGGAUAUUUUUAACUGAAUGAUAAUGAAAACUCUGCUUACAGGAAAAUUUAAUAGUUAACUUCAGAUCUUAUAAAUGCAGGGCAGAAAAUCAAUGAACUUAAGCAUCCAUCUUAAGGAGUUAGAGCAGAAAGUUAAACACAAAGAGAGCAGAAAGAAAUAGAAACAAGAAAUUAAUGCAAUAAAAAACACAUGUAAAAUCAAGAACAGACCAACCAAGCCCAAAUGUGUUUUAUCAAAAGUCUAACAAGAUAGAUAAACUUCCCGACUGCCCGUUGAAAGCAGAGAGAAGAUUCGGUCAAUAACGGGAAUGAAAAGGGCUGUAACUGGAGAGUCUAUGGGAUAAUAUGAACCACCCAUUACACCAACUCAUCAGGACAUUUACAGAAAAUGCAAAUUCCUAUUCAAAAACUAACUUACCGAAACUGACACAAAAAAAACUAAAAAUCUGAGUAGUCCUAUUUCUGUUAAGGAAAUUGAAUCUAUUAUUUCAAGUGUUCACAUGCGUGUGCGUGUGCAUGUGUGCACGCACACACACACACACACCCCGAAAGCCCAGAAGUCAGAGCCAGUGAAUUCCAGCAAACAUUUAAGGAAAAAAAUACCACCACCAUUACACAAACUCUCCCAGAAAAUGGAGUAAGAAGAAUCCUUCCCCAACUCAUCUUAGGAGGUUUAAAACUGAUACCAAACUUAAAAAGGAGUUUAUAGGAAAGAGUAGUUAUUAGCUAAUAUUCCUUCAUGAAUAAAAAUCUUAGACAAAAUACUUGCAAAUCAAUUUAAUAAUAUAUAAAAGGGGAUAGGCCAGGUACAGUGGCUUACCCCAGAAAUCCCAGCGCUUUGGGAGGCCAAGCUGGGGAAAUUGUUUGAGGCCCGGAGACUGAGGCUGCAGUGAGCUAUGACUAUGCCACUGCACUUCGAAGUCCAUCCUGGAUGACAAAGGGAGACCCUGUCUCUUAAACAUAUGUAUAUAGCCAGGUGCAGUGGCACACACCUGUAAUCCCAGCAUUUUGGGAGGCUGAGGCGGGUAGAUCAUGAGGUCAGGAGUUCAAGACCAGUCUAACCAACAUGUUGAAACACUGUCUCUACUAAAAAUACAAGAAUUAGCCAGGUGCAGUGGCGCGAGCCUGUAGUCCCAGCUACUCGGGAGGCUGAGGCAGCAGAAUUGUUUGAACCCAGGAGGCAGAGUAGCAGUGAGCCAAGAUCACGCCACCACACUCUAGCCCAGGUG